UGAAGACAGAGAAAAGAUAGUGGGCGUAACUCGCGAUAAUUUGCAUGGAAAUUUUUAUCGGUACGGCCGAAGAGGCAAUAUCCAGCAGACGCAUUUAAGAUCUGAGUCCGGAUAAUAGCCACAGAAAUGGGAUCGUAAUGCCCGAAAUGGGUGACACGAGUAGGUACCCAAGGUUGCCUAUAUAGUAUAUGCCUUACAUUUUCCUACGUAGCUAUCAUGAGCUAAUGCGCGAAAAUGGUGGGGUAAGUGGGAUGCACACAGAAGCUUCAGUGAAAACGAAUCCACCCAUAUCGUGCUACAGCCACACUGCACAAGAAAAAAAAUGACACUCCUCCCUUGGUUUACGUCGUUAAAUUAUAUAUAGACUUUCUUUCGCCCUUGCUUACUUGUUCUUUAUCGUCAUCUUAUGUUAAUAUUACUUCUAUUCGAGGUCCAUGGUUCUCAUUGAUUUUUUUGAUAUUUUCUACUGAUCGUUACAUUAAUCCGAUCUACGAAAAGGGAUCUAUGAGAAGGAUCAACUUUCAGGAAAGCAUUAUACGAAGGUACAUGGCGGCAGGAUCGGUUGCUUGAUGGACUGGAAGCUCGCGGAACGUUUCGAAAUACCGUCUUAACCAAGAAAAGGGUGCAAGUACACACUCAUGCACGGUAUAAAAGAAUAAGAGACUUUGCGGAAUAAGAAAGAAGAUUAAGAAAAAAAUCGAACCAUAUAAAAGUAGAAGAGUAGAAAUCCAAAGAAAGAGAAUGUUAGAAAAGAAGAGAAAUAGGAAUGUACAUGCACAUACAGAUGUAUAUAAGUACUUGUCAAUAGAUGUGUGCGUGCCCUAUAGCGUACAUCCCACAAAUAGACCUUGUCGUUUUCGAUGAGACUAUCGAAAACAAUUGGCACAAUGGAUUCUCAAGCAUUCUUAUUUAUUAUACUUACAUGGCACUGUACACUAUACAUAACGCGAAUGAAUGGGAGAAGCCGCGGUUAGACGAGAUGUGUAACGCGCGUGUGCAUUUUGCUCGAGAGCCCCACGAAUAAGCGUGCGUGAAAGAACGCACGCGAUUUUUGAAUCGUAGAGCACCGUCAACGGUAAGGGAACGAUGGAGAGGGUAUCCACGAAGAAAAGAUUAAAGAGAAUUGUUUUGUGAACGGUCAAUUGACAGCGUUUUGUGAUGUUAAUAGCCGCCUUUUAAUGACAUAUCUUUUAAUGUUCUUCAUAUAACACCCAGCGAAGAUUUGCUAGUCAUAAUUUAAAUGUCAUUAUAUAAUAUAUUAAAUGUAAAUUCGUCAAGCACAUCAAUAUAUCCAUUUAAGCAAAUUUUAUUUUAUCAUGUGACUAUAAGAAGAAAAAAUAUUGCUGUCAAGUAUAUACGUAUGACGUUUAGCAUUGGAAUAAAAAUCUCGUGACGUAUCUGCUGACAAACAUGGAUGCGUAUAUUCUAAUGCCUCUUAUGCGGGUCUCAUUGUGCAACGAUCUCUUGUUGCUUGUGGAAUCACUACGAACAAAGAUCCUCUUCUAUAGGAUAUCUAUAUCAUCAUCCUUUUACUGUGUUGGACAUCGACGAAUGAAUAGAUAAUAAGAAAAAACUCAACACAUAAAACUCAAUGCAAGUGAGUAUUCAAUAUUGUACGAGAAUAUAAUUGUAAAUACUUAGAUUAUUAUGAAGUUUGAUAUAUCAUCGACAUAAUUAUCAAUGUGAUUAUUAUAAUCAAUCAUAUUAUAAU
Molecule: long non-coding RNA, 1711 nt
Organism: Apis laboriosa (Himalayan honeybee)
Lineage: Eukaryota; Metazoa; Arthropoda; Insecta; Hymenoptera; Apidae
Exons: 5
Source: RefSeq, a predicted model, not a curated record